AUUCAGGUGAAAAUGCUCAGGUUCAGUCGGCUGACACACAGCGGCAGCCAGUUACCGUGCCCAGCCCUCUGCACAGGCACAGGGCGAGACCCCAAGCUCCCACCCCUCAAGCGCUUCCAUUUUGCCAACUCAUUUUCAGUGUGAAGCAAUAGUUACGAACAAAGAUCGCUAACAGCUCCAGCCUCAUUGCCCAAUGCCGACAGGCAGUUCAGCCAGCCUAAGGAUAACAGCGUGCUGUGAAAAAGUCAGCAUUUCAACAAAGCAGGGCAACACCGUGCAGCAACUGAUCCUCUCAUAAGCCAAAUCGUUCCUUCUCCUGAUGAACAGCGCAGAACUGCUCCUCACUGAGUGCAGCGACCGGCUAAGGAGGCAGCAGGAAAGCUGCACAAGUGACAGCGACCCCGUGAAGGACCGGUUCAGGAACUGCAAGAGGCAAAAGUGAAUUCUCCUCUUUUGCAUCUGACUAAAUGGGGUUUGAAGGAAUAUGAGCAAAAGGAAGCAAAACAUUCCUGCAGAAAUUCAAUAAACUGAGCAGCAUUAUGAAAGUCAUAUAAAACAGCCUGAAGCUGACAAUAUCACAGAACUGCGAACUGGAACUAGCAGCAUUGCUAAGGUGCGUACUUUAAACAUGGACACCCUCCUCCUGGUUAAGUCUUAGAUACGCUCUAUAGAGAAAAUAAAUACACCUCCAACUCUUCCCCCAUCUCUCAGUGCCAGACAGACUGCUCGGAUAUCUGCCCCCUCCCCGCUCCAGCCCACGACAGCCAAGCUCAGAUGCCCCGUUUGGCCACCGUGCCCUCCAGCCCAGGCAAAGCUGUCCCCACUUCACACUUAUCAUUGUGAAACCAUGCCAGUCUGCUCGUUUGCACAGCAAAGCAGGUUCUUCCUUUUCAGACUGCUUGCUGCCAAGGACUGAUGCCCGAAACACUGAACAGUGGCGCUUGUGUCUGACCUGGAGCAGACGAGAAACAGGUAAAUAGGCCAAGUAAAGCAGAGCCAGGGAAACAAAGACUCGGAGACUGAAUUACCCCUUCCCUACAUCAAUUAAAAAGCAAAUGCAAUUAUUUUGUACCAAUAACUGCAUCCAGAGUGCACUUUUGCCUUAGGGAGACUAAAAGAACAAACGAGACAGGGGCUCACACAACAUCCUAUUUCCCCUGUGACAUUGCCAAGAUCGGUGACGUGAAGGCUUUGAAUUUCUGCUGGCAUUGAAGUGCUGAAUUGUUCAGACAGACGGGGAGAGGGCACUGCACAUGCAGGGAGAGACCCCGCACGCCUUCGGGAGAGCCUUGCAGGGCGCCAAUCCCAGUCCAUCAAGACAAGCAGGGAGAAAUGUUAAGCUUAAGUAAAAAGGAAAUUAGUCGCUCUGAUAAUGAAGACCAAGUGCAAUGGGAUGGGAGAAGAGGCCCUCAAGGAAGGGAACACGGGACUGGAGAAUUAAGAGCUGCCACAAAGCUUCCACUUAAGCAUUUGGAGCAGACUUUGUCCUUCAACACAACCCACAUCAGCAGUCAAGCCAUUCCACCCACAAAGCUCCAUUUAAGCAUGUAUCAAAUCCCAGCACUCCGGCUUAAUCAGGAGUCCCUGAAGGCUACAGAAAGACAGGGCUAAGCAAGAAAUUAACUGGCAACAGUGUGGGACACAAACAAGGCAACUACAUACCACGGCACUGACUCCAGACGACAUUCUUGCUUGGUGAGCUUUUUAAUGGACACCCAAAAUGCAAGUAACAGGGAGACGAGAGCGCAGACAGCAAGGGUAGGAGGGCAAAUGGAAGAGUGACCCCGCCGUGGCUCGGAUGGGAACACUGACGACAUACCUGAGCGGUCACGUUAACGGAGCGCUGCGAUAAGCUCCUCCUCGUUCUUGGCACGCGUCAAGCACACAAAGAAAGCAUCAACUUAAGACAAGACAACACAGUUCUUAAGAAAGCUUAAGAAAAGUAGGAUGGAAAUUAAAAAGGACAUCCUUUGACUCUAGAAGCAUCUGUGAAAUCUGUCCUGUUAAAAAGCAUGCAUGAGAGUGAAUGGCCAAGGCAGUAAAUUAUUCCCGGAUCUUGAGACGGCUCCUGUAAAGUUGUCAUUACUUGUCUAUGCUAUCUGUAGAACAGAGAUAAGGUUAGAGCUGAAAAAUAUGAGUGUGUAAGUCAGCCAGCCAAACGAUACGUAUUAAAUGCUAAGGUCCCUUUCCCGCUAAGCGCUUGUGAAGAGCUGUGGGGAAGGCCAGAAGGGCAGGUACCGCUUCUCGGGAGCUGGCAGAGACAUCUGUUGACAUCCCUAACACUGGUAAACCGAAUAAAUAAGGGCACAGGCAGCAAAGUGAGCUCUUUCCCACACAUUUCACUGUACACCUUAAGCUUCCAGUUCUGUUUUUAUCCACCUGCCAGAUUUGAUUUUGCCAAAGACGACAAGCCAGCCGCAGACAGCUUUUUUUUUCCCCUCUCCCUCACCAGGAAAAAAACCCCACAUUUUCUCUGGGGAACACACACAACAUAAGAUAGUACGCUUCAAACUCCUUAAAAUAUUUCUGCCCACUUAUUUGAAAGCAUACAAAAACAGUUCUGGGCAUUUUCUCUGUUAAAUACAGUUCUCCCAGCCAGCAGCUGCUUUUGGUGGCAGAGCCUUUCCCAGACUAACAUUUUUAAUGUACAGGAGGAAUGUAUAUAUGCAAGUCAGACUACUAAAUUAUAAACUCAUGCAGGAAUAAAACUCUCCAUUACCUCAACAAUUUCAGGGUCAUUGCAACUCUAUCCCAGCAAAUAAUUAUAUCUUGGCUGUAACAGCUUAUACCCAUAUGACUACCAGGAUCCUAAGGCAUUUCAGAUGGCUUCAAAAGCUUAGCCACCACUGACAGCUUCUGAGAUGGAAAGCACAAACUCCUUUUCUCAGAGAGCCGCUCUGCAUAGCUGUCUUGAAGCAGCACUGAAGACCAUUAAAUUGUACCCAACUUUCCUGCGGAGUUUAGAAUAAAAAGCAUAAGCCAAGCAUGAGUGAGUUGUAGAGAAAACCAGAAUCUUUAAUUACCUGAAACUGAGAUGAUGUCAGACACAGAAAACUCAAGUCUUGUGAAGCAGUUACAGUCAACGCACAAGAAAAAAACACAACCCAACUAACUAUAUAUUUAUGCACACACAACUGAAAUGCGACAUUUAACAGCCAAACUU
Non-coding RNA from Phalacrocorax carbo (great cormorant), 3163 nucleotides. The record is from RefSeq and is a predicted model, not a curated record. NCBI's taxonomy places the organism in Eukaryota, Metazoa, Chordata, Aves, Suliformes, Phalacrocoracidae.